RNAcentral lists this non-coding RNA (112 nucleotides) under Marininema halotolerans. RNAcentral's name for it is "SAM-I sequence". It matches the Rfam family "SAM riboswitch aptamer (S box leader)". From Rfam's summary of the family: The SAM riboswitch is found upstream of a number of genes which code for proteins involved in methionine or cysteine biosynthesis in Gram-positive bacteria. The SAM riboswitch acts at the level of transcription termination control. The predicted structure consists of a complex stem-loop region followed by a single stem loop terminator region. The record is from RNAcentral. Lineage: Bacteria; Bacillati; Bacillota; Bacilli; Caryophanales; Thermoactinomycetaceae.
CUCUUAUCAAGAGUGGUGGAGGGACUAGCCCGAUGAAGCCCGGCAACCCCGGUUAACCGACCGGAAGGUGCCAAAUCUUGCAAGAGCCUUAAUGGCUGUUGAGAGAUAAGAG